CCUACGGGUGGCUGCAGUGGGGAAUAUUGGUCAAUGGCCGGGAGGCUGAACCAGCCAAGCCGCGUGAGGGAAGACGGCUCUACGGGUUGUAAACCUCUUUUGUCAGGGAGCAAGGUGCAGGUCGGGCCCUGCUGUGAGAGUACCUUAAGAAAAAGCAUCGGCUAACUCCGUUCCAGCAGCCGCGGUAAUACGGAGGAUGCGAGCGUUAUCCGGAUUUAUUGGGUUUAAAGGGAGCGUAGAUGGGUUGUUAAGUCAGUUGUGAAAGUUUGCGGCUCAACCGUGAGAUUGCAAUUGAUACUGGCAGUCUUGAGUACAGUUGAGGUAGGCGGAAUUCGUGGUGUAGCGGUGAAAUGCUUAGAUAUCACGAAGAACACCGAUUGCGAAGGCAGCUUACUAAACUGCAACUGACGUUGAUGCGCGAAAGUGUGGGUAUCAAACAGGAUUAGAUACCCCUGUAGUC
This 460-nucleotide ribosomal RNA is filed under the name uncultured bacterium. RNAcentral's name for it is "partial 16S ribosomal RNA". It matches the Rfam family "Bacterial small subunit ribosomal RNA", at positions 338 to 795 of the family's 1533-position model. The record is from RNAcentral.